UGGGGAAUAUUGCACAAUGGGCGCAAGCCUGAUGCAGCCAUGCCGCGUGUGUGAAGAAGGCCUUCGGGUUGUAAAGCACUUUCAGCGGGGAGGAAGGCGGUGAGGUUAAUAACCUCAUCGAUUGACGUUACCCGCAGAAGAAGCACCGGCUAACUCCGUGCCAGCAGCCGCGGUAAUACGGAGGGAGCAAGCGUUAAUCGGAAUUACUGGGCGUAAAGCGCACGCAGGCGGUCUGUCAAGUCGGAUGUGAAAUCCCCGGGCUCAACCUGGGAACUGCAUUCGAAACUGGCAGGCUAGAGUCUUGUAGAGGGGGGUAGAAUUCCAGGUGUAGCGGUGAAAUGCGUAGAGAUCUGGAGGAAUACCGGUGGCGAAGGCGGCCCCCUGGACAAAGACUGACGCUCAGGUGCGAAAGCGUGGGGAGCAAACAGG
This 429-nucleotide ribosomal RNA is filed under the name Chloroflexota bacterium. RNAcentral's name for it is "Chloroflexi bacterium partial 16S ribosomal RNA". It matches the Rfam family "Bacterial small subunit ribosomal RNA", at positions 355 to 776 of the family's 1533-position model. Lineage: Bacteria; Bacillati; Chloroflexota. The record is from RNAcentral.